Molecule: ribosomal RNA, 407 nt
Filed under: Allobates femoralis (brilliant-thighed poison frog)
Lineage: Eukaryota; Metazoa; Chordata; Amphibia; Anura; Aromobatidae
Description: partial 16S ribosomal RNA
Rfam family: Bacterial large subunit ribosomal RNA
Source: RNAcentral
UCCUUUMAAUAARGACUAGUAUGAACGGCUUCACGAAGGCUAUUCUGUCUCCUCUAUCUAAUCAGUUAAACUAAUCUCCCCGUGAAGAAGCGGGGAUUAACCUAUAAGACGAGAAGACCCUAUGGAGCUUUAAAUAUCUAAGACAUUUGAUCUUACCAUUAAACUUCAUGUAACCUAUCAUUUCUGCCUUAAGUUUUAGGUUGGGGUGACCGCGGAGAAAAAUCAAACCUCCACGUAGAAAGAAAAUUUUCUUCUAAGCAAAAAGACACAUCUUAACGCAUCAAUAUAUUGACCUAAAUUGACCCAAUUUCUUGCUCAACGAACCAAGUUACCCUAGGGAUAACAGCGCAAUCCGCUUUGAGAGCUCCUAUCGACAAGCGGGCUUACGACCUNGAUGUUGGAUCAGG